CGGGGCGUAGCGCAGUCUGGUAGCGCACUUGUCUGGGGGACAAGUGGUCGCUGGUUCAAAUCCAGCCGUCCCGACCA
This 77-nucleotide transfer RNA is filed under the name Desulfobacula phenolica. RNAcentral describes it as "tRNA_Pro_GGG". It matches the Rfam family "tRNA". From Rfam's summary of the family: Transfer RNA (tRNA) molecules are approximately 80 nucleotides in length. Their secondary structure includes four short double-helical elements and three loops (D, anti-codon, and T loops). RNAcentral also lists the same sequence under 10 other names. Lineage: Bacteria; Pseudomonadati; Thermodesulfobacteriota; Desulfobacteria; Desulfobacterales; Desulfobacteraceae. The record is from RNAcentral.